Molecule: long non-coding RNA, 221 nt
Filed under: Olea europaea subsp. europaea
Lineage: Eukaryota; Viridiplantae; Streptophyta; Magnoliopsida; Lamiales; Oleaceae
Source: RNAcentral
AAGUUUUCCCAAAUCUAUCUCCAUUACAUAAAGUUAUGAAAUAUGUAUUGACAAAAAGUGAAUUUUUAUGUUAAAGAUGAGGGCUUUAGUUCAGGGAGGUCAUUGAAGAUGGUGAAUUUUUGGUGGCAGGGUUGGGGUAGAGUUGCAGGGAGGACACCGUGGAGGCUUAGGGUUUAGGAAGAAGAUAAAAGUUGAGUAGUAAAAUGGUAUUUUAAGAAAAA